CGUACAUGCAAGUUUACAAAGUCACGUAAGGAGUUUGAUGAAUGACACAAUAGUCAAUCUUCAUUCGAAAGUUUGAAAAGAUCUUUCAAUAUUCAAUAACCGUUGUCCACAUUUGAGUCACGGGUCUUUGAAGAUAGGCAGAAUAUAAAUCUGCCAAGCCGCGCAUUUCUCAAUUUCGAGAACAGACAUUGCUCUCUACUGGACAGAACAGUGUCACCAGUGAGCGAGAGCCUUUCCCUGCUGAGUGAAGAUGCAGGGAACAUCAUGCAUGGACCGGAUGCACAUAUCUAUCGCUGGCAUUGGGCAGAAUCGGCAUUUCUCUAAAUCUCACUUUUCAGGACCCCAAAAGAAAACACUGCA
Syngnathoides biaculeatus (alligator pipefish) is the source of this 360-nucleotide long non-coding RNA. RefSeq lists it as uncharacterized. The transcript has 3 exons. The record is from RefSeq and is a predicted model, not a curated record. NCBI's taxonomy places the organism in Eukaryota, Metazoa, Chordata, Actinopteri, Syngnathiformes, Syngnathidae.